UUCGGGGUACACGAGCGGCGAACGGGUGAGUAACACGUGAGCAACCUGCCCCUGACUCUGGGAUAAGCGGUGGAAACGCCGUCUAAUACCGGAUACGACCGGCCACCUCAUGGUGGCGGGUGGAAAGUUUUUCGGUCAGGGAUGGGCUCGCGGCCUAUCAGCUUGUUGGUGGGGUAACGGCCUACCAAGGCGAUUACGGGUAGCCGGCCUGAGAGGGCGACCGGCCACACUGGGACUGAGACACGGCCCAGACUCCUGCGGGAGGCAGCAGUGGGGAAUAUUGCGCAAUGGGCGAAAGCCUGACGCAGCGACGCCGCGUGGGGGAUGACGGCCUUCGGGUUGUAAACCUCUUUUACCACCAACGCAGGCUCCCAGUUCUCUGGGGGUUGACGGUAGGUGGGGAAUAAGGACCGGCUAACUACGUGCCAGCAGCCGCGGUAAUACGUAGGGUCCGAGCGUUGUCCGGAAUUAUUGGGCGUAAAGAGCUCGUAGGCGGCGUGUCGCGUCUGCUGUGAAAGACCGGGGCUUAACUCCGGUUCUGCAGUGGAUACGGGCAUGCUAGAGGUAGGUAGGGGAGACUGGAAUUCCUGGUGUAGCGGUGAAAUGCGCAGAUAUCAGGAGGAACACCGGUGGCGAAGGCGGGUCUCUGGGCCUUACCUGACGCUGAGGAGCGAAAGCAUGGGGAGCGAACAGGAUUAGAUACCCUGGUAGUCCAUGCCGUAAACGUUGGGCGCUAGGUGUGGGGACUUUCCACGGUUUCCGCGCCGUAGCUAACGCAUUAAGCGCCCCGCCUGGGGAGUACGGCCGCAAGGCUAAAACUCAAAGGA
This 827-nucleotide ribosomal RNA is filed under the name Nocardiopsis sp. EGI80073. RNAcentral describes it as "bacterial SSU rRNA". It matches the Rfam family "Bacterial small subunit ribosomal RNA", at positions 81 to 908 of the family's 1533-position model. Lineage: Bacteria; Bacillati; Actinomycetota; Actinomycetes; Streptosporangiales; Nocardiopsidaceae. The record is from RNAcentral.